GACGAACGCUGGCGGCGUGCCUAAUACAUGCAAGUAGAACGCUGAAGGAGGAGCUUGCUUCUCUGGAUGAGUUGCGAACGGGUGAGUAACGCGUAGGUAACCUGCCUGGUAGCGGGGGAUAACUAUUGGAAACGAUAGCUAAUACCGCAUAAUAGCAGUUGUUGCAUGAUAACUGUUUGAAAGGUGCAAUUGCACCACUACCAGAUGGACCUGCGUUGUAUUAGCUAGUUGGUGGGGUAACGGCUCACCAAGGCGACGAUACAUAGCCGACCUGUGAGGGUGGUCGGCCACACUGGGAAUGUGACACGGCCCCGACUCCCCCGGGAGGCAGCAGUGGGGGAUCUUCGGCGAUGGGCGGAAGUCUGUCCGGGCAACGCCGCGUGAGUGAAGAAGGUUUUCGGGUCGUAAAGCUCUGUUGUAAGAGAAGAACGAGUGUGAGAGUGGAAAGUUCACACUGUGACGGUAUCUUACCAGAAAGGGACGGCUAACUACGUG
RNAcentral lists this ribosomal RNA (495 nucleotides) under uncultured bacterium. RNAcentral describes it as "partial 16S ribosomal RNA". It matches the Rfam family "Bacterial small subunit ribosomal RNA", at positions 28 to 507 of the family's 1533-position model. The record is from RNAcentral.